Molecule: non-coding RNA, 5701 nt
Organism: Pelodiscus sinensis (Chinese soft-shelled turtle)
Lineage: Eukaryota; Metazoa; Chordata; Testudines; Trionychidae
Source: RefSeq, a predicted model, not a curated record
AUGGGUUGUGUGCGGAGCUAAUCACAGACACUUUGGUGCACAGGGGCUAUGCUUCAAAGAGCUCUCUUAUUGGAGCCCCCUGAAUUCCUCGCACACUUCCUCCAACACCAGGGUUUGCAAAAGACAAGAGGUUAGCAAGAAGGAACCGAGUCGACUAUCCUCCGCAUGAAGAGACAACAACGUGUUUGGAAAAGUACACGGUCCCUGCCCCAGAGACCUGGGUACCCACAAUGAGAAAGAGCUCAAUUCACUAAAAUGCUAACACCUUGCACCAAGAGAUGAAAACAGUUACAAGGGUAACACGGACCUGCCCGAUUUACACCGGUUCAAAGUGCACCUCCAGGCCCUCACUCCUUUGAGUAAGUGGAAAUAAAAAUGUGUCCGUGUUUUAACAUUGAUAAAAUUGCCUUAUGCACGCUGACAUGACCCAAAAACCCAUUUCACCGCUUACAGAUGGGCAAAAUGAUUAAAAAAUCCAUUCCACCCCCAUGUUUUCCAGUUGUAUAUUGCCUUCCAAAGGGAGGAAAGCACAGAGGACUCUAGGAAGAGCAGUCUUAUCCGGCCUUUGCUUUUGUGCCAUGGAACAGCCAUGAAAAAGUUUUGCAUGCAGUAAAAUUCCGAGAGAGAUUUUUGCAUGAGCUUCCUGGUGUGUAUUUUUAAAGGGCUGCCGUCCAUCCCUCGCCUCUCUGCUUUGCCCCCCAAAGCAGCUGAGCAUAAACAAUCACAGAGAGGGCUUUCACACGGCAGCAGAGAUGAAAAGGCAAACAUUUCUCCCAGGAAAAAUGCAGUGAGCCAGCAUUUCCCUGCGUUUCCUAUCCUGUCAGGGAAGAACUUUUUGUUCAACUGAGGAGCCUAUUCUGACCCAGGAGAGAGGUCCCAGGGUGGUGUUGGUGACAUCACAGCCGGUAAUAUGCAAAUGAGUGGCUGUCAGCUAUUUCAUGAUGACAACUGGGGGGGGGGCAUUAAGUCUGGGUAGAGAAGAGACACAACAUACUUUAGAAAUUACAGUCCGAACAUCAUAAGGCAAACAUGAAGGUGAAUUCUCGCUGCGUUUUCUUCCCCCUCCAUUCUCCCCUCAUUUCAGUUUACUGCCGCUGACUGACAUGUAAGUGCAGAAGCCAGCUCUCAGCAAACACAUCUGAUUCACAGCAGUAUUGCUACGGUAAACAUUUAUAGGGUUUGAGAAAAACAUCUUUAUUUAAUGUCUUGUGUGGAUAUUCGUCCUCUUGCUAUUAAACUGGCGGUGUUAAAUAGCUUAGAAAGAGAGUUUCCUGAAAUAACAAAAUGACCUUAAUUGGGGAGGAAGGGAAACUCAAAUUAGAAAUGUAAUUCCCAUUUUUAUUUGUCAAAAAUCUCUCUUGAAACACACUAAGGUUAAUUCUAAAACGCGUCCUCCUGUUGUAAAAAAACUGGAGGGCAAUAAAACAAUUGUACCCUUAAAAAGUGAAGUUGAUUGAUCCGAUUGUCCAGAGGGGUCUCGCUAUUCUGCAGAUCAGGCCUUUUAAAAGAAUAAUAUGCAAACUAUGAAACAGCACAAGAGAUCUGCUUUACAUUUUUCUUUUGUUUAUUGUUCAAACUUGUUAAGCUGCUUUGUUUUUUGUUGAAAGAAUUCUGCCUGUCUCUGAUAAGAGAAUCUAUUUUAACAAAUGGACUUUUAGAAUGAAAAAAAAAAAGUUCUAUACCACAUGUUAAAAAAUAGGAUUUCUGAAAUAGCUAAUCUGCAUCUGAAAUCGAUAAGAUUUUUUUCCCCAAUAGUGCUCACGUUCAUCCCAAAUAUUGAUGCAGAUCUCAAUCUCUCUUCCAACUUAGUCUCCGCUGCCUAUUUAGUCCAGUCAUAUCAGUAACACUGUGAAAUGUUUUUAAGUGUUGCGGACGGUCAGAAGGAAAAACAAAUCUUCUGGCUUCCCCUAUUAUUUCUGACAAAGGCUUUAUAAAUAAGACAUACACUUACCUUUCAGCUCACCCAAAUAUGAGUGUUCUCCAGAAGCUUGCAAGCCAAAAUUCCCAGAGAAAGAUAGUAAAUACAGAAAGGGUUUAACAGGGAGAUGUUCUUCAAUUUUUUUUAGAGGUCCCUCCCCCCCCCUUUUUUGAACACACAAUUGGAAUUCCAUUUAAAAAAUCAUUGCACUUUAAAAUAAAAGGCCCCUCCCAAAUGUACCACUAUCCAGCAUGACAAUGCUAUCCAUCGGAAUUGUUUAACAGAACAAAGGCUGUGAACAGAGGCAGUUUCAGUAAAGCAUUUAGGAGAAAACCCGACCUUAGGGCUUGAACUGAAUUAAGAAUUAGGCACUGUAUAUUUUAGAAGGAAAACUACAGCAAAAAUGUGUCCCCCUAGUUUGACUCUAGUAGGGCUGAUCACUUCGUUUACAUGCAAGCGGGGAGGAAGACCCUCAUAUUAAAUUCUCAAUGUAGGCUUUAAAAGGAUUCUGCUCUGAAACUCAGUUCUCAGUUUAGUCUUUGAAGUAGUAGCAAAACUUGCAUCUUAUUCCAAACUCUCAUCACUUUAUGCUCCCUGACAAUUCGUUUGCUGUCUUGGGGGUGGGAGGGAGGACUGCGAUUAAAAGUGUAGAUGCUAAACAUUUCACUACAAAGCGGAGGGAAACCCCUGGGGAUUUUUUAAAGCACAUCUCGCCACAUAUAUUACAAACUGCAGCUAUACAUGUAUGGUUGUCCAAUUUGCAAACUCUGUCGGAGGACAGGGACAAGUCUUUGUGAAAAUGUCAAUCUGGGCAGUGAGAAACGAUAGAUAGAAAUAAAUAUCUCCCAAUCUAAAGUUCCUAAGCAAGGCAUAGAAACACGCAGCGAAAUUGACAGAGACGUGCAUUCGGAAAUCGUACGUGCACGGUUCGAUUAUAAAUCUGAAUGAUAGCAUUUUAGACAAAGUGCGUUAUGGUGUGGCCGAAAUGCUGUAUCCUUGGGUACAUAUAGUGUUUAAAAAUUAUUUAGUUCUUUCUCGUUUUGCUCCUUAAUUUUCCCAAAUGAACCUUAGAAAAAGAAUAGUAGGCGCUCUUUUAGAGCAACAUCAGCAGUAAAUUAGGGGUUAAGAGCUAUUUAAACAAAAAUGUACCGUCAGAAAGGAGGGGGGAGGAAUGCACCAAAAUAACCUUCAUUGGAAUAUGUAGAUUUUUACCCAAAAGUUUAAAAAAAGCCUUCCCCUCUGUAUAUACAGUAUUACUAUUUUGGUAUCUUGUCAAUUUCAUUGAUCACUGGCUGAAACACGUCGGUCGGUUUCUCCUCCCGGUUUGCUAAGUAACGUUUGCUAUUCAAUCUUGUAAAGAGAAAAAUUAUUCGAGCUGAUAAAAUCUGAUUGUCAAAGAGGAGUCCAGAUUCAGCAAGAAGCCUGUUCUUAAAAAAAAAAAAAUUGUCCCGAGGAAAAAAAAGUUAGCUAGUUUCUGGGCUUUUGGCGCUCCCUAUGGACGAAGAAAAGGAUUUCAUUUUUAGCUCCAGAAAGGUGAUUGUUGACAACUGUAGAAAUCCACCCCCCCACCCUACCCCCCCCCCCCAAAAAAAAGAGAAAGAAACGGGGGUACGAAAUGUGAGUGUAAAAAGGCACAGAAAACAAAGCAACCCCAUUUAAUGGUGCCUGACAGCUGUGGAUUUAAAUCGCUUAAAAUAGAAGCACCCACAUUGUUAAGUUUCCUUUGCAAUAGCUCUGGUAAAUAUGUGAUGAUCUGGGAUUGAAAGUGUGCGUCUGAUAUGGUUGUGCAUCUACAGAGGUGGAGGUAUUAACGUGUGUUAUGAAAAGAAAGAAUCACACAGGUGUGUUUAAAACCAUUUUCGCUAUUUUUAUCACUCGGUAAACGUGUGUAAAGAUCGCCGCUUUCUGAGCUCUAUCAUAAAAUAGGGGGUGGGGGAGAGAUCUCAAAAGUUUUCCCUUCCUGUUUCUUUCCGUAGCCCCAGCUUUUGCAAACUGUACCUACCGCUCUUUAGAGGCCGGGCAACUGGUGCAGAGCAUCCGAGAUAAAGAGCAAACUGAACUGGAGUUAAUUUUUUACUAGCGAGCAUCAAAAAGUUAUUCAAAGCAUUUAAUGAAAACAUAAACAUUUGCAGCCAGGAAAAUAGUCUUUCUGCAAAUCUAGAGGCGACGAUUUGCAUUCUGUGUCAGCAAGAAAAUCAACAGGAGGGGAGAUUCUCGGUUUAAAUAGUGGGGAAAGAGCGGUGCAUGAGCGGUGCAUUUUUACUGCCAUGUUUUGCAUCUAUUUUAGAUACAGUCUUUGCAUAUUUUGAAACGGUGUUCUAGCUUAGCAGUUAACUUGAGCAGGUCUGUCCGAAAUGGCCUCGUUAUUUCAUUCUGAAAGCAAAGGGUGGUCCCUUUCCGGGAUAGCUUAACUUUAUGAAGAUCUGGUAUGCAAUUAGCGCUAUACAUGCAAGUUACAGCGAGGGAAGAGGACUGUACAUAGUGGGAGUGUAUUAAAAAAAGGCGACCAACUUGUAGCUGGUAUGUUUCGUACCACUGGAUAGUUAAAGUUUAAUUUGAAGACUACAGUACUAGCCCAAUUACAGCACACUGACCCAGGGUAAAUUACCGCAGUCUUCAAAACUACCGGAAGACCAGCCUCUGUACAAGGUCUCUCAGCCAUAAGUUGACACAUAACUUUGCAGAACUCAGCUAUUACUGCAUGUGUGUGUCGAGAAUUGAAAGCCCUUAAGUAGCCACUAAGCCUUCGCGUGCAUUUAAACCAUGCUGGUUUUAAUUAAAGAACAGCAGCAAAGCGGUGAGCAUAACACCAUCCCCUGGGUGACAACUUUAUUUAAAGAAAAAAAAAACAUCCCUCGGUUUUAUAAGGCAAACCAAACAGGGGUGAAUCACAAAAGCUUUCCCUUCACCGAAAAAGCUCGACCUUCUUUUCCACGCCAAAAUCUGAGCAGCUCGGCAGCCCACAACCUGUCUGAUGCAAUGUUAGUUACCCCGGGUGUAUCUUUGUCUAGAACAGGAGACUUCAUGUCCAUAGCCCCCCUGAAAACAAUCAACAUUUGCCUAGGCAAACACAACACGAAGAAGAGUUUACUUUUCAGGCAUCACAAAAGUUCUGAAGUACAAAGAGUCACUCGGACACUUCUACUUGUCUGUACUUUUUUUUUUUUCUUCCCCUUCUCGGAGAGCUGCGCGCAUUUCUCCCCACCCUCAAAAAACUUGCAGCCAAUCAUCCGCGUGCCAGCCCCCCAGGGGCAGGGCUGUCAUUGGCUGAAAGUUUCUAAGGUGAAAUAGUAGAGGAGAGUAUUUAUUACAGAGACUCGGAGACAGAGUUGGAGAGCCGAGCUUGAAACUGACUAGGUGAAAUUGAUUGGGAGCCUUCAAACUUUCCAAACGCCAGGAACUUUUUUUCUUCUUCUUCUGGGAGGCAGAGAGAAAGAAGGGACAUCCGGGGGGGGGAAUCAGACUAACUCCCCACUUUGUUCCCCCACCCCCUUUUUGACUCUCCUCGGCAGGAAAACGCCCUGGGUCUUUCCACGUUACUGCUGCAGCAACUUUGCAGUGGGCUGGGAACAAACUUUUCCUCCCCCCCCCUCUCUCUCCUGCAAGCUGCAAGCGACCAGGCAAAACUUUCUUGUUUCUUUUGCAAACUUUUUUUUGCUGCUUGAUUUCUCCCCUUCCCCUUCCCCCGCCUCCAUCCCUCCCUUGCUUCAGGCUGCUUUGCAAGAGGUUGUGCCGCUGUAUUAUUUUUUUUCAUCCCUCCCUCCCACGCCUUCCUUCCCCCCC